AAUCUUGCGCAAUGGGCGAAAGCCUGACGCAGCGACGCCGCGUGAGCGAUGAAGGCCCNAGGGUUNUNAAGCUCUGUGGAGAGGGNAGAAUAAGGGCUGGCGAAUACCCAGCCUGCUGACGGUACCUCUUUAGCAAGCACCGGCUAACUCUGUGCCAGCAGCCGCGGUAAGACAGAGGGUGCAAACGUUGUUCGGAAUUACUGGGCGUAAAGCGCGUGUAGGCGGCUAUGCAAGUCGGAUGUGAAAUCCCGCGGCUCAACCGUGGAAGUGCAUCCGAAACUGCGUGGCUAGAGUCCCGGAGAGGAAGGUGGAAUACUUGGUGUAGAGGUGAAAUUCGUAGAUAUCAAGUGGAACACCGGUGGCGAAGGCGGCCUUCUGGACGGUGACUGACGCUGAGACGCGAAAGCGUGGGUAGCAAAC
This 420-nucleotide ribosomal RNA is filed under the name uncultured bacterium. RNAcentral describes it as "partial 16S ribosomal RNA". It matches the Rfam family "Bacterial small subunit ribosomal RNA", at positions 360 to 773 of the family's 1533-position model. The record is from RNAcentral.